GUAUGUAUGUAUGUAUGUAUGUAUGUACAUAUAUGUAUGUAAAUAUCCUUAACAUUUAACAGAUUCUAGAAGGACUAAAAAAAAACUUAACCAUACAGAGAGAAGAAAUCAUGAAACAAAAUAAAGAUAUUGAGAAUUAUAAAAAUGAAGAAACAAAUAUACACAAAACAUAUGAAGAGCAGAUGAAAACUCUACAUGACUUAAUCAUAUCUUUGGAAAACCAAAUAGUCAAACUGAACUCAGAAAAGAAUUUUAAUAAAAUUUUUAUUUUAUGUUCUAUAUGUGGUACUAAAAAUAACGUAGGAGCAAUUUUAAAAAAUAGAAAAUGUUGUAACUGCAGUUCGAUCCUAAUUUUUUUAAAUUAA
RNAcentral lists this long non-coding RNA (365 nucleotides) under Piliocolobus tephrosceles (Ugandan red Colobus). RNAcentral's name for it is "lncRNA (ENSPTEG00000017365.1)". The record is from RNAcentral. Lineage: Eukaryota; Metazoa; Chordata; Mammalia; Primates; Cercopithecidae.